UCGUUUUCCUCUUCUCAGACUCCAGACUCUAGAAGGCGAUUUUCUCUGCUCGAGCUGGAUUGCACGAGCUGCUCCAAGCCAGGCUGAAGGAGGAGAAGGAGUUGCCGCCUGUGGUACGGUCGAGCAGAUGACGUGGCUCUGCAGCUUGCCUCAUGCAGUUGGUGUUGGAGAUGGAGACCACAGCUCGACUGGAGCGGUAGGAGGGCACCCACGGGGGCCUGGUGGUAGGAUCCUGGUAGGGUGGGCUGGUACGUUGAGGAUAACUGCUUGUAUUGGCAUCGGCGCUAGUGGUGGUAGCAGUAGGAAGUCUGGGGGCCGGGAAGGGGGAGUAGGAGCACUGCAGGGCCCACCCCGUUCUGGGGUGGGGAGGAACCUGUGGGUGCUGUAACGAAGGCCUCGGUGGCAGUGGUGGUGGUACACCUAGGACAAAGA
RNAcentral lists this long non-coding RNA (432 nucleotides) under Homo sapiens (human). Its description in RNAcentral is "non-protein coding lnc-KCNJ18-5:2". The record is from RNAcentral. Lineage: Eukaryota; Metazoa; Chordata; Mammalia; Primates; Hominidae.